This is a long non-coding RNA of Zingiber officinale, 860 nucleotides long. RefSeq lists it as uncharacterized. The record is from RefSeq and is a predicted model, not a curated record. The transcript is spliced from 7 exons. Lineage: Eukaryota; Viridiplantae; Streptophyta; Magnoliopsida; Zingiberales; Zingiberaceae.
UCCCCUCUCCUUCCUUUCCUCUAUCACCGCUAGGUUUCUUCCAUCUCCUUUCCUUUCCUCUAUCACCGCUAGGUUUCCUCUCUCCCACCCCUUCUUUCCUUUCGUAUUUGCAGCGCACCAGGUUCUUCCCUCUUCGCAGUAAGCAAGGAGUUCAAAGGUGCGGCCACACUCAAGGGGGUCGCAGCCUCUCCAAACCACUAGUUUACUAGCGGUCGAUUUGCGAAUGGCUGCAUGCGAGGGGGUCGAUGCCUCACGAGGCAGUCCGUUCACAAACGGUUGCACACGAGGGGGUCUAAGCAGUGGCCUGUAGUGAGGCAACGACAUCGUUAUCUGCUUCUGAAACUCUCGUGUUUUUCCAUCUCCAUAUACUGGUAAGCUUUUCAAGAAGAUGGAAUUGCACAAGCUAGCAGAUAUGCUACUGAGGAUUCAAUUAAGUCAUGGCUUAAUGAAUUACUUUGCUUGGAUGUUGCAAGUUACAUUCCAAAUAUCACUAUACUUCCACAUCCAAGUGAAUGUGCCCUUUACUAUGUCAACCGAGAUAUACUUUUCUAAUAUCACAAGGAGAGUGAGAUAUGUUUAUAGGUUUGUCUCUCCAUUGUGGAAUUCAAUGAUAUUUUUUCUCCUCAUAGAGAGAAGACUACACUUGAGCAUGAGCCUAGCUUGUGGUUGCUGCAGUUGGCUUCAAGGCAAGAAGGCCUGAGAUCCCAAGUACUGUAAAUAGACAUGUGGCUGCCAUAAUUGAGUCCUGUUGGGCCAGCGAGCCAUGGAAAAGGCCUUCUUUUUCUAGUAUCAUGGAAUCCUUGAAGCCUCUAAUCAAGACUCAGUCACCUCAACCGUUACAUUCUGAUAUGUCUAGUAUC